GACGUAGGGCGCGAGCGUUGUCCGGAUUUAUUGGGCGUAAAGAGCUCGUAGGCGGCUUGUUGCGUCAGCUGUGAAAAACCCGCAGCUCAACUGUGGGCUUGCAGCUGAUACGGGCAGACUAGAGUGCGGUAGGGGAGACUGGAAUUCCUGGUGUAGCGGUGAAAAUGCGCAGAUAUCAGGAGGAACACCGGUGGCGAAAAGCGGGGCCCCCUGGACGUCUACUGACGCUGAGACGCGAAAGCCAGGGGGAGCGAACGGG
RNAcentral lists this ribosomal RNA (259 nucleotides) under uncultured bacterium. RNAcentral's name for it is "partial 16S ribosomal RNA". It matches the Rfam family "Bacterial small subunit ribosomal RNA", at positions 524 to 776 of the family's 1533-position model. The record is from RNAcentral.